UUAAGUUCAGCGGGUAGUCCUACCUGAUUUGAGAUCAGAUCAUAAGUAAUUUGUCCAAGUCAAUGGACUAUUAGAAGCGGUUCAUAAUAAUCCCGGCCACCUUUUACAGUGUCCUCAGCGAGUGAUACUUAUCACGCCGAGUGGAACCGAGUUCAUACAGAUCCAGCUAAUGAAUUUAAGAGGAGCAGACGUGAAUCUGC
Molecule: unclassified non-coding RNA, 200 nt
Filed under: Ceratobasidiaceae sp.
Lineage: Eukaryota; Fungi; Basidiomycota; Agaricomycetes; Cantharellales; Ceratobasidiaceae
Description: partial internal transcribed spacer 2
Source: RNAcentral